AGAGUUUGAUCAUGGCUCAGAACGAACGUUGGCGGCGUGGAUUAGGCAUGCAAGUCGAACGAAUCCCGGUAGCAAUAUCGGGGGAAGUGGCGAAAGGGGCAGUAAGGCGUGGGUAACCUACCCUCGGGUCGGGGAUAGCCUUCCUAACGGAAGGGUAAUACCCGGCGACGUGGCGACGGGGCAUCUCGUUGUCACCAAAGAAUUUCGCCCGGGGAGGGGCUCACGUGCUAUUAGCUAGUUGGUGGGGUGACGGCCCACCAAGGCGAAGAUGGCUAGCAGGUGUGAGAGCACGACCUGCGCCACUGGCACUGCGACACUGGCCAGACUCCUACGGGAGGCUGCAGUCGAGGAUCUUCGGCAAUGGGCGCAAGCCUGACCGAGCGACGCCGCGUGCGCGAUGAAGGCCUUCGGGUUGUAAAGCGCUGUCGAGGGGGAGGAAGCCGCAAGGUUGACCUAUCCCUGGAGGAAGCACGGGCUAAGUUCGUGCCAGCCGCCGCGGUAAUUC
This 505-nucleotide ribosomal RNA is filed under the name uncultured bacterium. RNAcentral's name for it is "bacterial SSU rRNA". It matches the Rfam family "Bacterial small subunit ribosomal RNA", at positions 8 to 526 of the family's 1533-position model. The record is from RNAcentral.